UCCUACCCGAAGCUGUGCACUCUGUGGAAGAAGAUGAUGUUCCCCGAAUAGAGGACUGGUCUUUGGUCAAAGGUAUCGGUAGCUGUGCUCCCCUACUAGGACCUCCAACAAUCUCUUAAUACUGUAUGGGCUAGGUGUUAGAAGAGGGGGC
Unclassified non-coding RNA from Cricetulus griseus (Chinese hamster), 151 nucleotides. Its record names the gene 7SK. It matches the Rfam family "7SK RNA". From Rfam's summary of the family: 7SK was discovered as an abundant small nuclear RNA in the mid-70s but a possible function has only recently been suggested. Two independent studies have found that 7SK RNA binds the CDK9/cyclin T complex (known as elongation factor P-TEFb). NCBI's taxonomy places the organism in Eukaryota, Metazoa, Chordata, Mammalia, Rodentia, Cricetidae. The record is from Ensembl.